This 275-nucleotide ribosomal RNA is filed under the name uncultured bacterium. Its description in RNAcentral is "partial 16S ribosomal RNA". It matches the Rfam family "Bacterial small subunit ribosomal RNA", at positions 338 to 610 of the family's 1533-position model. The record is from RNAcentral.
CCUACGGGUGGCUGCAGUAGGGAAUAUUGGUCAAUGGGGGCAACCCUGAACCAGCCAUGCCGCGUGCAGGAUUAAGGCCCUAUGGGUCGUAAACUGCUUUUGUACGGGAAGAAAUCACAUUACGUGUAAUGUGUUGACGGUACCGUGAGAAUAAGGAUCGGCUAACUUCGUGCCAGCAGCCGCGGUAAUACGAAGGAUCCAAGCGUUGUCCGGAUUUACUGGGUUUAAAGGGUGCGUAGGCGGACUAUUAAGUCAGUGGUGAAAGCUUGCAGCUU